AUUUGACUACGAUGUAAAUAUGUUGUGCUUUCCUUCAACUGUAGUGGAGAAAAAAAAAACGCCUGCUAUAAAUUACAUUCAUCUUUAUACUCUGUGGACAUAUUUGUCUUCUAACAGCUUCAGCAACAGCUUGGUAAAAAUAAAGAAGCAAACAUACAAGUCAGCCUGAAGUUUUUGGAGUCGACAGUUAAGAGGAAAAGCAUAAUGGUGAUGGAGUAAUCUUGAAACUGGUGCAGGGAAUGUGUGGAUAAGAAGCUUGCUGUGCAGUCACCUGGUUCUGUGUUCAGUUGCAUUGCAGAACACCUUAGACAAUUGUCUUCACGUCGGCCAAUUUCCUGUGAGUGAAUUCGUUAGGCCUUUGAAAUCAUGAUUUAUAGUAGCAGCGAUGUAUCAUAAACGGUCACUACUCUAGUGAGGAACCAUUAAUAGUGGUGGGGACUGGAUUUCUAUUGAAGU
Molecule: long non-coding RNA, 456 nt
Organism: Octopus bimaculoides (California two-spot octopus)
Lineage: Eukaryota; Metazoa; Mollusca; Cephalopoda; Octopoda; Octopodidae
Source: RefSeq, a predicted model, not a curated record